This 15687-nucleotide long non-coding RNA is filed under the name Gossypium barbadense (sea-island cotton). Its description in RNAcentral is "long non-coding RNA (GBAR_LNC009202)". Lineage: Eukaryota; Viridiplantae; Streptophyta; Magnoliopsida; Malvales; Malvaceae. The record is from RNAcentral.
UGCGAUUAAGCCGUCGAUUCCCUUUUGCUUCGUUAAAAUCAGAGUUAGAAGAGGAAAAUUCGAGGCCGACAAAAUAAUAUAGUCGAGGCUUGUGAACGCCAAUCGCCGUUCCUAGCGACGGGCUGUCAUUUUUAAGAGGAGAACCAUCUGAAUCGGCUGAGGAAGACGAAACGGAGAGGCUGGGGCUGCUUUUUUUGUUUCGGCCGAAUGAAUGUAAAAAGGGGCUGUUGUUUUUUGACAUAUUUUAAGUGGCCAAAUGAGGUUUUAGGGUUUCUUAACCUAGAGCAUAAAACGGCACCGUUUAGGGCCUGUUCCAGUGGCUCCAAAACGGUGCCGUAUGAGCCUAACCCAUGCCCGACCCGAUUCAACCGAAUGGCCCCAAGACCCGCGUGUUUAAGUGUAAAAGGGGAUAUUUUCGUUUGGAUCCUUCCCCUUUUGCGUGAGCAUUCAAUUUGUGCCUCGCUUAUUUUGUUCCGUUUUUUAAUUUGGCUUUGUUGUUCGUGUAUGUUUGCAAUUGGGUCCUAGCCUUAACGCGGCGUUUUGGGGCAUGGGAAAUUUCCAGAUUUAAUCCCCGUGAAUUCGCACGCUUGACACAUUCGUCCCUAUUGUCUUUCCGAUAAACUCUUUCAUUUACAGAUUAUCCCUCUUAUUUUAAAUUUAUUUUAAUUAAGUCCGUAAUCUAUAUAGCUUAUUUUUUUUAAGAAUUCGUUUAAGCCUUUUGUGUGUUGAUAUUACUUUAUUUUAUUUUGCAAAAAUAUGUAUUGUUCCAACCUCUUCACGUUAUAUUAUUCUAAUAUUUUGUAUAAUACUCCAUUUAAAUACUUUAUACAUUUAUAUAUACGUUAGUUUAAUAGAACUUUCCAUUUAACAAAUAUUCAUUCAUGAUAUUAUAUAGGUGUUGAGAUACUUUAAUAAUUCCACUUUUUUCAUGAAAUCACCAUUUUAAAAUUCUUUUAUAUCAAAGUAUUUUGAUGUUUUAUACAACAUUUUGUUUAUAUAUUUUUAUACACAUUUAUGUAUAUAUAUUAAUUUAGUUGAGCCUUCUACUUGGAAGUACUUGUAUUUUAAAAUUAAUCUAGGUAUAUUAUUUAAUUUAUUUUAAUUAUUUCGCUUUGUGUUUAUGUGUAUAAUUACUUUUAAAUUUGUUAUUUUAAUAUUUUUAUAUAAUGUCUCAUCUAAAUAUCUUUGUGUAUAUCUGUACAUAUAUUAUUUCAAUGGCUAAAUUGUCGUUCUAAAACUCGUUUUUUAUGCUUUUAAAAUUAUUGUUUUGAAAUUCUUCAUAUUGUAUUAUUGUAAUAUAUAUUAUAGAGUAUCUCAUUCAAACACCUUUUUAUAUGUAUUUGUACAUAUAUGACAAAAUUAAUUUGGUUAUGUAUGCAUUUCCCUUUUACUUUAUUCUAAAUUUAUUUAUAUAUAUACAUAUAUACGAUUUGUAAAUCUAAUAUGUUCUUCAAAAUAUAUUUCAUUGUAUAUUUUUACCAUCUUUGCAUAUUUUAUACAUAAAUUAAAUUCUCCUUUAUUGAAUACAAAUUGUCAAUCUUAAAACUAAUACUCUUUAACACUUUGUAUAUUACCCAACUUAAAAAUAUUCAUUCCAUAACACAUGUUUUAAUAAUUGCAUAUAUAUCUCUAGUUUAUUUUUACAAAUAAUUUCAGAUUCAACAAUUCAUAAAUUAGAUAUUAAUCCUUUUAAAUUUAUCUUUUAUAUAUUUUAAUUGUCAUUUUGUUUUGCAUACUUUGCGCUUGAUUGUGUGGUAUUAGGUUAUGCAUAUUAUUGUUGUAUAUUAUUUUCGUUUCGUAUUAUCAUUAUAUAGGUUAUUCUUCAUUCAUGCUUAGGAAAUUGAUAAUAUUUUUAGAUUGGUGGAAUUCGAUUGUUAUCUUGUUAGUUGAUUAAACGACUUAUCUUAUCUCCAUUCAUCCAUCAUAACAUCUUAUAUGGGUAUAUUAUCCCGUGUUUUUAUUUUCUUUCCGGCCUACAAAUAUCACUUUAUAAUUUCUAAUUCUUUAAAACUAAUUAUUCCCUUUUAUUUCAAGUUAAAUUAGCGUAUUUCAAGCUGGUUUUAUAAUUAUUUGUUUAAAAAUUCCUUAAAACGGAGGUGAUGUUCGAUGUUCGGAAAUUCGGGGAAUCGUGCCCUACCGUGCUGGGUUGCAAUUUCUCAUUUGCUCAAAAUAAUCGAACGUCUCUUUAGAAUUUCAUUCAUGUUUUCUAAAAACUUUCUAAGGCGAGGCAAUGUUCAACGUUCGGAAAUUCGAGGAAUCAUGCCCUACUGUGCUGGGUUUCGAUUUUUCGUUGGACUAAAUAGUUGAGCAUCCUUUUGAAAUUUCCAAAUUAUAAAUUUUUGGAAGUUGAAAUCUAUCGCGUUUUCAAGGGUAUAAAGGAUCGCAUCCUACCGUACUGGAUGUGGUGCUAUAUUCCUCUGAAACAAGAAGAUUUUGAUGACCAAUUCGGGUUAUGCAAAUGUGAUCAAAAGGAACCUCAUUUCAAAAACAUUUUAAAUCUUAGACCCAAGGACAGUUAUUUAAUCGUAUGGUACCAAUUUUGGGGCAAAAUGAGGGUGCUAAUCCUUCCUCAUACGUAACUGAUUCCCGAGCCUGUUUUCUCAAAAUUUCGUAGACCAAAAUUAUUGUUUUCGUAAGCCAGAAUGUUUUAUUAAAACUAUCAAAUUUCUAGGUGAUCCGAUCACACCUAAACAAAAAAAGAUUGGUGGCGACUCCAUUUUUCGCUUUCCAAAAAGUCGAUCCACCGUUUUUUAAAUCGAAAUAAAAAAUGGUUCCGACAGCUUGGCGACUCCACUGGGGAAUUCAAUAAGAGAGUCAAGCCAUAAAAUUGAUUAUUUGCUGUCCUUUGGUCAAUGAAUUGAAAAUUUGUUUUGAAAAUCAUGAUUUCUUUAAUCGCAUUGUAUGAUUGUUAUGGUUUGGGUCUUGUAGGAUAACAUUGCAUUACAUUGCAUGACUGCUGUGGUCACACCUUCUAAGUGGGAGUAAGAAACUACGCUUUCGUGAGAUUUUCACCUCCACAUGGGCUAGUGGACUACUUCCGGGAUACAUCCGUACCUAUGAUUUCGUGAGAUUUUCAUCUCCGCAUGGUCAUAGGGAAAUGUAUUCCCCUGAACCGAACUCUAUCCAUAUGAACCUAUAAUGGGUGAGGAUCGAGGAAUUUGCUGGUUCGGGUACCCUUACUCUAGAACUAAACCACAUAUAGAGAACCCUAAGAGCCUUCUUUAGGUGGAGCUAGGUUAAACUAUAGUGGUCGCCCAUAUAAAUAUGCUUUGAUUAUCUUUAUUUUGCUUGUAUUUUAUUAUUAACACUUGAUACUGACUUGUCUUGUUUUGAUUGUAUUUUGCAUGACAUUGCAUAUUAAAGGAGGUAUUGAUUUAUAUUCGAUUACUAAGUUAGAAAGUUUAACAUGGAGAAUGAAUUUCUUAGUAAAGUUGAGGAUAAUGCGGCCGUCUGCGCAUGGUCAGAAAAGUUACAAUCAGAAAAAGGGGAUAGCUUGACAGAAGGAUAUACAUCAGAGUUACAAGAAUUCACUCACGUCAAUGUAGCACAGAAUGAGUUGUAAGAGUUGAGAGACAUCUGUGCUCGUUGGGAUGAAGAAACCAAAUAGUUAUUCUAUCAAAGCUAUGGUGAUAUAUCUCACUUGUUAGAUAUUAAGGUGAACAAGCACCUGUUCCGAGUUAUGGUUCAAUUUUGGAAUUCUGCUUACAAGUGUUUCACUUUUAGGGAAGUGAAUUUAUUGCCUAUUGUUGAGGAACAUACUACCCUACUCAGGUGUCCAAAAGUGCAAGUUAGAAAAGCUUAUGCCAAGGUUUUUAAUGGUCAAACCUUCACGAAGAAAUUGAUGAAUAUUUUAGGGAUGAGCGAGCCUUGGGUCACCGCUCGGAUUCAAAAAAAGGGAGAUAAUAAAUGUAUCCCUUGGGAGAAUUUGAGAGAUUUGGUUUUAACACAUCCAGAUGAGAGAAAGAGGGUCAAUAUCUUCACCUUAAGCAUCUAUGGAUUGGUAAUUUUUCCUAAGGCUUCAAGGCACGUGGAUGAGGCAGUCACUGACUUAUUCGAUCGUCUUGAGAAGGAAAUCACACCGGUGCCGGCAAUAUUGGCAGAGACAUUCAGAUCCUUGAGCACAUGUCGGAAGACGGGUGGGGGACGGUUUAUUGGAUAUGCACAACUGUUGAUGGUGUGGUUUCAUGGGCACUUUUGGAAAGUAGACAAGGUUUCUUAUCGGGUCUUUGCAGAAGGUUAUUUCUCGUUGAAAGAGGAAGCAGCCAUACAAAGGAGAGAUGAUAUCUCGAAGGAGAAGUGGAUGAAAAUUCUUCAAAACCUUAAGGAGGAGGAUAUCGAGUGGAGAGCAUAUUGGAUGGUUCCAGAUGAGAUCAUGUAUCGGUGCGGUAACUUUGAUUGGGUGCCAUUGUUAGGAAUUUGGAGAGCUACCGGGUACACCCCAUUACUUGCAUUGAGACAAUAUAAAUCGAGGCAAUUUGUACCCACGACCUACGAACUUGCUCAGUGUGAAUUCUCUUUUAAAGGUGCCCACUAUAAAAAGAAAGUUCGGGAGCUACCUGAUGCUUGGAAGCAAACUCGUUGGAUGAAGAGGUUAGCUAUCAGUUCCAUGGUGACACCUGAGUAUGAUGGAUGGUUUAAGAAGAGGGUUAAUGAUAAUGUUCCUAGGCCAAGUUUAGAGAAUACUCGGCCUAUGGUAGAACAAUUACGAGUCUCCCCGUCAGAGUUGGAAAUGAUAAAACAAGACUUCGAGAAUAAGAGUUCAGAGCUUGGGAAAAAGAUCGAACAAUUGGAGGAAGAGAAGAUGCACCUAAGAUUAAACGCUGAUGUCCAGAGGUCAGAGGCUAAAAAGUGGAGAAGGGGGAAAAGCUAAGGCCGAAGAGGAUCUAAACAGUUUAAAGACUGAUUACAAGAAGUUAUGCCUGUCUAUAAGGACUGCGGGGUUAGGUAAGACUUCCGAAUAAUGGCGCCAUGAAAUUCGAGAAGAAAAGACCAAGGCCGACCGAUGGGAAAGGAAAUCCAAAUGGCUCAGGCAUGAAAUGAAGAUCUAGAGAAGAGUCUGUCAGAAAGCAGAAAUGAGUGAGGUGAAUUAAAGGCUAGAGUGGCAGAACUCGAGAAGUCUCUUCAUCAAUACCGAAACUGCAACACCGCAAUGGAAUUGAGGGCAAGCUUGAGCAAGAUAGAAGAAGUGGAAGGAAAAAUAGAAGAAUUAGAAACGUCACUGCAGAACUAUGAGAUGCAGAUUCAGUUUUUCGAGGCAAAUGAGGACCGUUGGAAAGAGCAGCUUCACCAUGCGCAUGAUCAAUUCAGAAAUAGAGAUUACAUUAUGGGAGAAGCCAUAUCCCAGAUUCGAGGAGGUAGCUAAUUACUUGCAAGCUUUGGCAGUACAAGCGGACAUACUGGUAGUGAAAUACGAGUUGGAGUCAGAUCGGGGGUAGAGCUAGCCUCAUUAUUUAAGAAAAUUAAGGCUUGAGCAUUAGGACGAAGUUUUAUUUGUAACUCAAUUUUAUGUAAAGACUUUUAUUUUCUGGUCAAGUUUUCUAAAUGGAAUUAAAUCAAAAUUGAUGCCUCCUUUGCAUUCAUGCAUUUGCAUUACAUUACUUCGUAUGCAUUAAAGGCCAUAAAAAGAUUCUAAUUAAUUAAAAAUGUUUCAGUAAUCUGGAAACCAACGAAAAUCUCUCAAGUACACAUCCUUACAGUACAAGAAGAAAAACUCAAGCAAUGGAUAAAAAAUUAGAAAGACUGGAACAAAUGCAGAAAGAGAUGCAGGAGUAGAUGCAAGCACAAGUACAAGAACAGUUAGCUAAAAUCCAGCAGGAAAUGAGGGAUCAAAUGCUGGAAUCGCAAAGAAGUAUGAUGGAAGAGCUAACCUGACUACUGACUAGUAGGACGGAUAAAGGAAAGGGUCCUAUGACCAAUGUGGGAAAUAAUAAUGAAGAUUCCCUUUACCCCCUGGUUUUAAUUCGGCAAGCGCUCAAAUGCAAUAUGAGAGGCCAGCCGUUACUGAGGAUCCUCUCUACCCCCUGGUUUCACUCUGAUGAGUACUCAAUUGCCACCCGAACUGCACAUGCGAAGGCCGUCUGUGACAAUCAGGCCCCAACAAGGCUGAUACCUCGAUACCGAUGAACUAUUAGGCUGGUUCAAGUUCUAAUCCGGGGGAUAACCCAACUAACCCCGGUGUCCCCGAUCUUAAUGAUGUAGUAGAGGCAGAAAAGACAAGGGUAGAGCUUCCGAAAGAACUCGAAGAACGGUAUAGAUGGUUGGAAGAAAAAUUUAAAGAAAUAGAAAAAGUUGACUAUCGUGGUGGAAUUGAUGCUAAGGAGUUAAGUUUAGUUCUGGACUUGGUGUUUCCCCCCAAGUUCAAAACGCCAGAAUUUGAAAAAUACAAUGGAACUAGCUGUCCAGAGGCUCACAUCACUAUGUUUUGUCGAAGAAUGGCAGGAAACAUUUACAAUGAUCAACUGUUGAUCUACUGCUUUCAGGACAGUUUGGUUGGGUCUGCGGCUAAAUGGUACAACCAACUAAGCCGUGCUCAAAUCCAUUCAUGGAAAGACUUAGCACAAGCUUUCAUGAAGCAAUACCGCCACGCGACAAACAUAGCACCCGAUCGAAUCACGUUACAAAACAUGGAGAAGAAACAAAAUGAAAGUUUCAGGCAGUACGCCCAAAGAUGGAGAGAGGUGGCGACGCAAGUCCAACCACCUCUUCUGGAGAAAGAAACGACUAUGCUCUUUAUCAACACUCUAAAAGCUCCAUUUAUCAACCACAUGCUAGGGAGUGCUACUAAGAGCUUCUCGGACAUAGUAAUAUCAAGAGAGAUGAUAGAGAACGUGAUAAGAUGCGGGAAGAUUGAAAUAGGAGAAAAUGCCAAGAAAUCAGCUCCAAGGAGGAAAGAAAACGAGGUGAACAACGUGAGUGUAUACAAUAAAAGUUAUAACAAGCCAGUUACCGUAAGCCAACCGAGGACGGUGACUACCAGCCAUCAGGGCUCCGCAAGACAAGAUUCCAACUCAAGGCCUAACACGGAAAGAGUCCAGUUUACGCCUAUCCCGAUAUCCUACAAGGAAUUAUAUCAGAGCUUAUUUGAUGCCCAUGUGGUGUCACCUUUCUACUUGAAACCUUUACAACCCCCAUUCCCAAAAUGGUACGACAUAAAUGCCCAGUGUGAGUACCACGCAGGGAUAACGGGGCACUCGAUUGAGAAUUGUACCGUGUUCAAAAAGUUAGUGGAAAAACUCAUCGAAAUGGGUGUGAUAAAGUUUGGUGACUCACCAGGUCCCAAUGUGGCAGGAAAUUCGUUACCCGACCAUGCUAAUAAAGGGGUAAACGCGAUAGUCAAAAGUGGAAGCAAAAGAAUCAAGAUGGAUAUAUCAGAGGUAAAAACCCCACUUAAACAGGUUUGGGGAAAGAUGGUGGAAGGGGGUUUAGUCACACGACAUCUAAGGGAAAGGCCCAGAGAAGCGAGAAGGUACUGCGAGUUUCAUGCUGAUGAAGGCCAUGACAUCCAAGAGUGCAACAAGUUUAGGUCCAUAGUGCAAAAUCUGAUGGACAAAAAGGAGAUGGAAUUUUAUGAAGAAACCAGAGGAUCAGAGGAAGAAGAGGUUUACGCUUCAGAUGAGGGAACGACAGAAAGGGUCUAAAGAGUUAAUUAUCCUGUAGUGAUCAUUUCACGACCCAGGAACAAUGAAGUAGGAGUACAACUGGCGCCGAGAGUCAUAAUCCAAAAACCGAUAUCCUUCCCAUACAAGGAUAGCAAAAAGGUUCCUUGAAAUUAUGACUGCAACGUGACAAUCCUAAGGGGGAAAGCCCGGCAAGUGCUUCACAGGAGAACCAAGAUGUAGGUUUCUAUACACGCAGUGGGAGACGUUAUGAUCCUGCGAGUACAAAAAAUGAAAUCGUUAAAGAAAAGGCCCCAAUGGUUGAGCAAAGGAAGGAGAACACAGUCAGGUUUGAAUCUCCAGUCAAUGAGUCGGUAACCGAGAAUGAAGCUAGGGUAUUUCUAAAAUUUUUAAAGCAUAGUGAGUAUAGCGUCAUUGAACAGCUACGCAAGCAACCGGCUCGCAUCUCGGUGCUAGCCUUACUUUUCAGCUCGAAAACGCAUCGGAAUGCGUUAAUGAAAGUGCUGAAUGAGACUUAUGUCGCGAAUGACAUCUCUGUUAACAAACUGGAUCGUCUGGUCAACAACAUCAAUACCGAUAAUUUUAUUUUCUUUAACGAUGAUGAAAUACCACCGGGAGGUAUGGGGUCUACAAAGGCUCUGCACAUUACCACAUGUUGCAAGGGAUUCACAUUACCGGGGGUAUUGAUUGAUAAUGGAUCGGCACUGAACGUCCUACGUCUAUCCAUAUUAAAUAGGUUGCCCGUGGAUAGUUCCCAUAUGAAAACAUGCCAAAGUAUGGUGAGGGCGUUCGAUGGUACCGAAAGGAAAGUAUUGGGGAGGAUCGAAAUACCCCUUUUAAUCGGCCCUAGCACGUACGAGAUAGAUUUAUUGGUAAUGGACAUCAGACCCUCUUAUAAUUGCUUGUUGGGAUGGCCCUGGAUUCACUUAGCGGGGGCAGUGCCUUCAUCAUUACAUCAAAAGCUCAAAUUUUUAAUGGAAGGUCGAUUGGUGACCAUAAAUGCGAAAGAAGAUAUCAUUGCAUCCGUUACCAGUAAUGCACUGUAUGUGGUGACAGAUGAUGAAGCCAUAGAGUGUUCUUUUCGGUCAUUAGAAUUUGUAAAUGCGACCUUUUUUGUCGAAGGAAAUAAGAUCCCGACACCCAGAAUCUCUAAAACUACAAGAAUGGGCUUACAACUGACGGUUGGGAAAGGAGCUUUGCCAGGGAAAGGGCUUGGAAGAAGCCUACAAGGGAGGGUUGAAGCACCUAUGCUCAUGGAAAAAUGAGAUCGCUUUGGCUUAGGAUUCAAGCCAGAUGCAAAAUAGAAGAAAAAAGAGUAAGAGAAGAAACAAGAAAGGAGAAGAGCGCGUUUAAGCGGGGAAGAGGUUAAGUGGGAGCCGAUGACCUUUCCUCACAUAGCCAGAACAUUCGUGUCGGGAGGAAUUAUUCACGUUGAAGGAAUAUCGACAAGGAAAGGAUCCACCAAAAAAAUGUUGGAAAACUUAAGCAUUAAUGCCACAUACGAAGAAGGAACUGGAGUUGAAGAUUUGUCAGGCAUUCGCCCUUAUGAGCCGGGAAGUGUUCUGAAUAAUUGGACUAUUGAAGAGAUUCCUGUAGUCUUUAGAACUAACACAGAGUAAUGCCCAAAACACACCUAUUACUCCAGGCCUAGGAGUAAUAAGUGUCCUUUUGUGAAAUAGACUUGUGUUCAAAAUCGUUAUUUCAAUGAAAUGCAUCCUUUUGUCUUAUCUCGUGCAAAUAUUCUUUUAUUCUUUCAUUCAUAAUCACACUAUACACAUCAUUGUUCUUAGAUUCUUUUGUUCUUUGUAUCUUCCUUCACAUCUACAACAGGUCUCCAGAUAUCAACCAUAUGAACGACGUUGCUACUAACUCAGAGUCUCCUUUUGAUCGAGAUAUGUGUUUAGAGGGAUCUCAGGACUUUGAAGAUGACAAAGACUGUAACUUACCCCCUGAUUUGUUAAGGAUGGUAGAACAAGAAGAGAAACAUAUUUUACCUCACAAAGAGUCAGUAGAAGUCGUGAAUUUGGGAGAUAAACAAGAAAAGAAAGAAGUAAAGAUCGGAGCUGGUAUUACCAUAGAGACAAAGCGGGACCAUAUUGAGUUACUCCAAGAGUUCAAGGAUGUCUUUGCAUGGUCAUAUCAAGAUAUGCCUGGGCUAAGUACUGAUAUUGUGGCACACAGGCUUCCCAUUAAAGAAGAAUACAAGCCAGUUCAACAGAAGCUCCGAAGGAUGAGGCCAGAUGUUUUGUUGAAAAUAAGAGGAGGUCAAGAAGCAAUUCGAUACUGGUUUCUUACAAGUGGUUAAGUACUCGGAAUGGGUAGCCAAUAUCAUACCUGCCCCUAAAAAAUAUGGAAAUGUAUAGAUAUGUAUAGACUACAGGGAUCCGAACAAAGCCAGCCCGAAGGAUAAUUUCCCGUUGCCUCAUAUUGACACCUUAGUGGACAAUACGACAGGUUACUCACUAUUCCCCUUCAUGGAUGGUUUCUCAGGGUGCAAUCAGAUCAAGAUGCAUCCCGAAGACAUGAAUAAAACCACCUUUGUAACUAUACGGGGAACCUUUUGCUAUAAGGUGAUGCCUUUCGGAUUGAAAAAUGCGGGGGCAACAUAUCAGGGAGCCAUGGUAACCCUAUUCCAUGAUAUGAUGCAUAAAGAAAUUGAAGUCUAUGUUGACGACAUGAUUGCUGAAUCCCGUACAGAAGAAGAGCAUGUACAAGUCUUGAGGAAAUUAUUUUUGAGGUUGAGGAAGUUCCAACUGAAACUCAAUCCAGUAAAAUGUACCUUUGGGGCCAGGUCAGGGAAACUGCUAGGAUUCGUAGUCAGUGAAAAAGGAAUCGAGAUUGACCCAGAUAAAGUCAAAGCUAUACAAGAGUUACCUCCGUUGCGUACUCAAAAGAAAGUUCAGGGAUUUCUAGGGAGAUUAAAUUACAUCGCUCGGCUCAUUUCACAACUAACCGAGAAAUGUGACCUCAUAUUUCGCCUCCUUAAGAAGCACAACCCUGGUGUUUGGGAUACUGAGUGCCAGAAGACUUUUGACAAGGUUAAACAAAAUUUGUCUAAUGCUCCAGUGUUGACACCACCUAAUCUAGAUAGGCCACUGAUACUGUAUUUGACAGUAUUUGAAAAUUCUAUGGGAUGUGUACUUGGCCAACACGAUGAGUCAGGAAGGAAAGAAAGAGCGAUAUAUUAUCUCAGUAAGAAGUUCACCAAGUGUGAGACGAGAUACUCACCAAUUGAAAAGUUGUGUUGCGCAUUAAUUUGGACAACCCGAAGGCUGAGACAAUACAUGUUGUACCACACAACUUGGUUGAUUUCUAAAUUAGAUCCUCUGAAGUACUUGAUGGAAUCAACUACUUUAAAUGGAAGAAUGGCCCGAUGAUAAAUUUUACUUUCCAAAUUUGAUAUCAUCUAUGCAAAUCAGAAAGAUGUAAAAGGGAGUGCAAUAGCAGAUUUUCUAGCCAGUAGAGCUCUCGAAGAUUAUGAACCUUUAAACUUUGAUUUCCCAAAUAAAGAUCUAAUGUAUGUGGCAACCACUGAAGAAGACCCUCAAGAAGGUCAUCUUUGGAAACUCUAAACUUCGACGGAGCAUCAAAUGCUGUAGGUAAUAGAAUUGGGGCAGUCUUGGUAUCCCCAGACGAAGAUCAUUAUCCCUUCACUAGUAAAUUAGAUUUUGACUGCACGAACAAUAUGGCGGAAUACGAAGCGUGCAUUAUGGGCAUCCGUGCAGCCAUAGAAUGUAAGAUUAAAGCACUAGAAGUAUGUGGAGACUCUGCGUUAGUGAUUUAUCAACUCAAAGGUGAAUGGGAGACGAGAGAUCCCAAAUUGAUAAAUUACAGAAAUCUGGUCCUUGAACUGAUUAAAGAAUUUGAUGAUAUCGUCUUCUUCUAUCUCCCUCGAGAAGAAAAUCAGAUGGCCGUCGCCCUGGCAACUUUGGCCUCUAUGAUCAAGGUGAACAAACAAGAGGAUGUGAAACCGAUCCAAAUGAGUAUUUACGAGGCUCCAGCUCAUUGUUACAACUUCGAAGAAGAAGCAGAAAAUGAUGAUAACCCUUGGUAUCACGAUAUCCUACGGUAUGUGAAGAAUCGUGAGUACCCCGACCGAGCUACUAAAAAUGACAAAAGAACGUUGAAAAGGCUGGCCGGCGACUAUGUCUUGGACGGGGAGAUCCUAUACAAAAGAAGGAAGGAUCAGGUACUGUUAAGAUGUGUAGACGCUAUUGAGGCCAAGAAAAUCUUAGAAGAAGUUCAUGAGGGCGUCUGUGGGACACACGCUAACGGCUUCACAAUGGCUAUGCAAAUUAUGAGAUUUGGUUAUUAUUGGUCCACCAUGGAAGAAGACUGUAUUAACUAUGCAAAAAGAUGUCAUAAGUGCCAAAUCUAUGGAGACAAGAUUAAUGUGCCUCCUUCACCUCUGCAUGUUAUGACUUCUCCAUGGCCUUUUUCGAUGUAGGGCAUGGAUGUGAUCGGGCCAAUUUCACCAAAAGCUUCAAAUGGGCAUCGAUUCAUCUUUGUGGUUAUAGAUUAUUUCACCAAGUGGGUGGAGGCCGCUUCAUAUGCUAAUGUAUCAAAAUCAGCAGUUAGCAAGUUCCUAAAGAGAGAGAUUAUCUGUCGAUAUGGAAUGCCAGAAAAGAUCAUAUCUGACAAUGCAUUGAAUUUAAACAACAGUACAAUAGCAGAGGUCUGCAGUCAGUUCAAGAUCAGACACCACAACUCGUCGCCGUAUCGCCCGAAAAUGAAUGGUGCAGUCGAAGCAGCCAAUAAGAACAUCAAGAAGAUUGCAGGAAAGAUGACUGAAACUUACAAAGAUUGGCAUGAGAAACUACCAUUCGCCCUCUAUGCUUAUCGAACAUCCAUCAGGACCUCUACUGGGGCAACUCCUUUCUCAUUGGUCUAUGGAAUGGAGGUGGUUUUACCCAUCGAGGUUGAGAUUCCUUCCUUCAGAGUUUUGGCAGAAGUAAAGCUGGAUAAGGCAGAAUGGAUCCAGUCCCGAUAUGAUCAGUUGAAUUUGAUCGAAGAAAAGAGGCUAAAGGCAAUCCGUCGUAGUCAAAUGUACCAAAAACGGAUGAUGCGAGCCUACAACAAAAAGGUUCGUCCUAGAGAAUUCCACGAAGGAGAAAAAUAUUUUUCCUAUACAAAAGGACUUCAGAGGAAAAUAGAUGCCAAAUUGGGAAGGACCUAAUGUGGUGAAGAAAGCAUUUUCUAGAGGAGCAUUGAUAUUAACCGAAAUGGAUGGCAAGACUUUACCCAAUCCUAUGAAUUUAGAUUCGGUUAAGAAAUACUUUGCCUAAAAAAAAAGGGAGAGGCCAAGGUGAAAACUCACAAAGGGCACCUUGAGACCAAAGGGAUUUUGAAUUGAAAACCCGUAAAAAGGCGAUUCAAACUUGGAUCAGAGGUUAGGCCUGCGGUAUUCUUGUAAUACCUGAAUUAGCAAGGAGGAGAGAUGUUACAUAUUGGGGCGUCAACAAGAGUACUUUAGAUCCCCUAAACACAUAUUAGGCUGAAAAAAAAGAGUCUUCAAGAAGUUCAUACGGGGAAGUUCAUGCUGCAAUAUUUGGGGCACCUAUCUUCCUUUUGUUUAUUUUGUCUUCCAGCAAUGUUUAUGUUUUGUGAUUAAUCUAUUCCUGUCCAAAUUUUGUUUCUAAUAAAUUUUAGUUCUAUCCAUUGUUACGAUUAUUCUCAAGCAUUUUUGCAUUGAAAUAACGACUAAUGGACUAAUGAUACUUUUACAAAAGGAGUUCUGCUUAUUACUCUGAAAGUUUCUAAAUAAUACAGGAACCUGAAACAGGACUAUUAUUUAGAACUAACCAAACCCAAUAAUCAGAAAUAUUUGAGAAAGUAGAGUUAAACUGGGACUACCACUUCGAAUUUUUCGUCCAAAAUCUAAGAUGAACAAGAAGACAGGAUACAGUUCCAGCGACAGAACCUUGAUGAACAAAAAGCAUUAGCAACCCAAACAUUAAAAAGGGAUCAUUCUCAUAACAUACCGCACUUAUGCAUUUAUAGAUAAUUCAUGACAUACCUAGUUAGGGGCAUUCUAAUUCAUUUCGAUCAUAGCAUCCUAAUUAUUUGGCAUAAGCAUAGGUAUUUGCAGCAGAUUCUACAGAUCAUACCCCUAGAGGAUGGUAUAGCAAUGUCUGAAAAUUACAGAUCUUGUCUCCCUAAGCACUAAUGGAACAGAUCAAAGACGGUGAGCCUUAACCCCCUAAGCAGUAGGGUAACAGGCUAAAUUACCAAUCACUUUUCCCUGAAAUGGUGUUGGAGCGGCUCGAAGACACCAACAGAUCUCCUUGAAGUUUCAGUGGAGUAGAUCAACACAAGUCUUAUCUCACUGAAGUUGCAGUGGAGCAGACUAAAGAUAGCAAAUUUUAUUUCCCUGAAGUUACAGUGGAACAAAUUGAAGCUAUAAACCACAAAUCUCAUCUCCUUGAAGUUUCAGUGGAGUAGAUCAACACAAGUCUUAUCUCUCUGAAGUUGCAAUGGAGCAGACUAAAGAUAGCAAAUCUUAUUUCCCUGAAGUUGCAGUGGAACAAAUUGAAGCUAUAAACCACAGAUCUCAUCUCUCUGAAGUUGCAGUAGAGUAGAUCAACACAAGUCUUAUCUCACUGAAGUUGCAGUGGAGCAGACUAAAGAUAGCAAAUCUUAUUUCCCUAAAGUUGCAGUGGAACAGAUUGAAGCUAUAAACCACAGAUCUCAUCUCUCUGAAGUUACAGUAGGGUAGAUCAACACAAGUCUUAUCUCCCUGAAGUUGCAGUGGAGCAGACUAAAGAUAGUAAAUCUUAUUUCCUUGAAGUUGCAGUGGAACAGAUUGAAGCUAUAAACCACAGAUCUCAUCUCUAUGAUGUUGCAGUAGAGUAGAUCACCACAAGUCUUAUCUCCUUGAAGUUGCAGUGGAGCAGACUAAAGGUCGCAAAUCUUAUUUCCCUGAAGUUGUAGUGGAACAGAUUGAAGCUAUAAACCAUAGAUCUCAUCUCUCUAAAGUUGCAGUAGAGUAGAUCAACACAGGUCAUAUCUCCCUGAAGUUGCAGUGAAGCAGACUAAUGAUGCAAUAGAGCAGAUCAACACAAACCUUAUCUCCCUGAAGUCGCAAUGGAGCAGACUAAAGAUGGCAAAUCUUAUCUCCAUGAAGUUGCAUUGGAACAGAUUGAAGCUAUAAAUCACAGAUCUCAUCUCUCUGAAGUUGUAGUAGAGCAGAUCAAAACAAAACCUAUCUUCUUGAAGUUGCAGAGGAGCGAUAGAGCAGAGCAAAGCGACAAGAUACAGUAGGCUACUUGAAAAUGGGAGAGGCACCAAAAAGUCAAGGCUUGGCGGGACCGGGCAAAAUUGGACUUUCUUAAAAGUCUUUACUCUGUUCUCAUUACAUGACAACGAGCAAAGAGGGGCAGCUGUUACAAGCCCAAUUUGCUCGGCCCAAUCUAAAACUAGACCUAGCCCAUUACCCAAUUACAAGCCCAAUCCUAACAUUUUCAGAAAACAAAAAAACCUAACCCCUAAUGCCUAUUCAGCGCUCAACCAAGUCCCGAGACUCUGUCACCACCACUGGUGGCCAGUUGCUCCACCGCCAACUACUCAUGCAGAGAAAAGACAAGGAUUAAAUGUGAAAACAGUGAAGAAAACAAGGAAUGUUGUAAAAAAUUGGCUAUAUAAAACCCUAAGAUAUCUAAAGCAAGGGAGUUUUUUUUCCCUUUUGGCAACAUAAAAAUUUUUACUACACAGACACUGAAAUACAAAACAGUAAUCAAAAUCAAAUUGAAGGAAAAAAGGUGAUUUGUGAAUGCUCUUACUCUUAUUUCUUUGAAUCUGUUCCUUUUUUAUAUUUUGUAUAUAUUAUAGCAUAACACAAAUAUAAGAAAAAGAAAAGAAGUCAUACCUUGCGAUUAGGCCGUCGAUUCCCUUUUGCUUCGUUAAAAUCGGAGUUAGAAGAGGAAAAUCUGAGGCCAAUGAAAUAAUAUAGUCGAGGCUUGUGAACGCCGGUCGCCGUUCCUAGCGGCGGGCUGUCGUUUUUUGGAGGAAAACCAUCUGAAUCGGCUGAGGAAGACGAAAUGGAGAGGCUGGGGCUGCUUUUUUUUGUUUCGGC